Non-coding RNA from Acanthosepion pharaonis, 109 nucleotides. NCBI's taxonomy places the organism in Eukaryota, Metazoa, Mollusca, Cephalopoda, Sepiida, Sepiidae. The record is from the annotation of a GenBank genome assembly.
CCUUUAUCACGUUGAAACAUCGGUUCUCGUACGAUCACCGAAGUUAAGCAACGUCGAGCCUGGUCAGUACCUAGAUGGGUGACCGCUUGGGAAUACCAGGAACUGUAAG